Molecule: ribosomal RNA, 465 nt
Filed under: uncultured bacterium
Lineage: Bacteria
Description: partial 16S ribosomal RNA
Rfam family: Bacterial small subunit ribosomal RNA
Source: RNAcentral
GACGAACGCUGGCGGCGUGCUUAACACAUGCAAGUCGUACGGUAAGGCCCUUUCGGGGGUACACGAGUGGCGAACGGAUGAGUAACACGUGAGUAACCUGCCCACAACUUUGGGAUAACGCUAGGAAACUGGUGCUAAUACUGGAUAUGUGCUCCUGCUGCAUGGUGGGGGUUGGAAAGCUCCGGCGGUUGUGGAUGGACUCGCGGCCUAUCAGCUUGUUGGUGGGGUAGUGGCCUACCAAGGCGGCGACGGGUAGCCGGCCUGAGAGGGUGACCGGCCACAUUGGGACUGAGAUACGGCCCAGACUCCUACGGGAGGCAGCAGUGGGGAAUAUUGCACAAUGGGCGCAAGCCUGAUGCAGCAACGCCGCGUGCGGGAGGACGGCCUUCGGGUUGUAAACCGCUUUCAGCAGGGACGAAGCUUUUUGUGACGGUACCUGCAGAAGAAGCACCGGCUAACUACGUG